This 253-nucleotide ribosomal RNA is filed under the name Segatella copri DSM 18205. RNAcentral describes it as "Prevotella copri DSM 18205 partial 16S ribosomal RNA". It matches the Rfam family "Bacterial small subunit ribosomal RNA", at positions 524 to 776 of the family's 1533-position model. Lineage: Bacteria; Pseudomonadati; Bacteroidota; Bacteroidia; Bacteroidales; Prevotellaceae. The record is from RNAcentral.
UACGGAAGGUCCGGGCGUUAUCCGGAUUUAUUGGGUUUAAAGGGAACGUAGGCCGGAGAUUAAGCGUGUUGUGAAAUGUAGACGCUCAACGUCUGCACUGCAGCGCGAACUGGUUUUCUUGAGUACGCACAAAGUGGGCGGAAUUCGUGGUGUAGCGGUGAAAUGCUUAGAUAUCACGAAGAACUCCGAUUGCGAAGGCAGCUCACUGGAGCGCAACUGACGCUGAAGCUCGAAAGUGCGGGUAUCGAACAGG